CAAGUUGAUGAGAUUCCAUCACCGUGAAUGUUCUCCUGAAACCAUAACCUUUCAGAAUAAGCAGAGUCUGUAAUUUAUUGGAUAGUUUAUUUACAGAAUGUUGUCCAUACCAACACCCCUUCAGGAAAUGGAAUUAGACAACAUAGUAGUAUGAUUUAAUAGCAAGACUUGGCCGAGUAUGGUGGUGUGCAUCUUUAAUCCCAGAACUCUGGAGGCAGGUGGAGCUCUGAUUUAAGAGGCCCCUGGUCUACAGAGGCAGGUCAGGUCAGUGGGUCUGUGUAAAGGUUCCUCUGGUGAACCAUUCCUUUGUAGGACGUUAAAAUCUGUACUAAAAGGUUAUGAUUCAUGGAAUCUGUUUGAUGUGGAAAUAGAAUCAUGGUUGGAGCUGAUGUUGGCGAUUUAAGACCUGCUGACUAAGUGAGUGAACAAAAUUUGCUAAUAUCAAUUAGUGCCCUGCAUGCCUUUCCUUUACCCUGACUCAUUCCUUACGGGUAGGAUCAAUCUUUUCAGUAUUUGCAUUCUGGUUCAAUUAGCCAGAAAAGGAACUUUGUAGUGUCAGAAUGUCAUCCAACUGUAUAUUUACUUUAUUGUAAAUAAUGGUGAACAGUGGUCAAUAAAUAGUUUUAUAUUCCUUUAAAAAAAAAAAAAAGAAGAAAA
Molecule: long non-coding RNA, 657 nt
Filed under: Rattus norvegicus (Norway rat)
Lineage: Eukaryota; Metazoa; Chordata; Mammalia; Rodentia; Muridae
Description: long non-coding RNA NONRATT011940
Source: RNAcentral